This 125-nucleotide small RNA is filed under the name Marmota monax (woodchuck). The record is from RNAcentral. Lineage: Eukaryota; Metazoa; Chordata; Mammalia; Rodentia; Sciuridae.
GCUGGGCUCAGUGGUGCCCGCCUGUAAUCCCAGCGGCUCAGGAGGCUGAGGCAGGGGGAUCGCAAGUUCAAAGCCAGCCUCAGCAAUGGCAAGGUACUAAGCAACUUAGUGAGACCCUGUCUAUA